RNAcentral lists this ribosomal RNA (253 nucleotides) under uncultured bacterium. RNAcentral's name for it is "partial 16S ribosomal RNA". It matches the Rfam family "Bacterial small subunit ribosomal RNA", at positions 524 to 776 of the family's 1533-position model. The record is from RNAcentral.
UACGAAGGGGGCUAGCGUUGUUCGGAAUUACUGGGCGUAAAGCGCACGUAGGCGGAAUGUUAAGUCAGGGGUGAAAUCCCGGGGCUCAACCCCGGAACUGCCUUUGAUACUGGCAUUCUCGAGUCCGGAAGAGGUGAGUGGAAUUCCGAGUGUAGAGGUGAAAUUCGUAGAUAUUCGGAGGAACACCAGUGGCGAAGGCGGCUCACUGGUCCGGUACUGACGCUGAGGUGCGAAAGCGUGGGGAGCGAACAGG